CAGUCGCCGCGGUAAUACGGAGGGUGCAAGCGUUAAUCGGAAUUACUGGGCGUAAAGCGCACGCAGGCGGUUUGUUAAGUCAGAUGUGAAAUCCCCGAGCUUAACUUGGGAACUGCAUUUGAAGCUGGCAAGCUAGAGUCUUGUAGAGGGGGGUAGAAUUCCAGGUGUAGCGGUGAAAUGCGUAGAGAUCUGGAGGAAUACCGGUGGCGAAGGCGGCCCCCUGGACAAAGACUGACGCUCAGGUGCGAAAGCGUGGGGAGCAAACAGGAUUAGAUACCCGCGUAGUCCCUGUCUCUUAUAC
RNAcentral lists this ribosomal RNA (301 nucleotides) under uncultured bacterium. Its description in RNAcentral is "partial 16S ribosomal RNA". It matches the Rfam family "Bacterial small subunit ribosomal RNA", at positions 509 to 807 of the family's 1533-position model. The record is from RNAcentral.